UAAUUCCAGCUCCAAUAGCGUAUAUUAAAGUUGCUGCAGUUAAAAAGCUCGUAGUUGGAUCUCGGGUGCAGGCUUGCGGUCCGUCUCGCGGCGGUCACUGCUCGUCCUGGCCUCCACGCCGGCGCACCGUCCCUUGGUGCUCUUGACUGAGUGUCUCGGGCGGCCGGAACGUUUACUUUGAAGAAAUUAGAGUGCUCAAAGCAGGCCUUUGCCGCCUGCAUAAUGGUGCAUGGAAUAAUGGAAUAGGACCUCGGUUCUAUUUUGUUGGUUUUCGGAGCUCGAGGUAAUGAUUAAUAGGGACAGACGGGGGCAUUCGUAUUGCGGCGCUAGAGGUGAAAUUCUUGGACCGUCGCAAGACGAACUACAGCGAAAGCAUUUGCCAAGCAUGUUUUCAUUAAUCAAGAACGAAAGUCAGAGGUUCGAAGACGAUCAGAUACCGUCGUAGUUCUGACCAUAAACGAUGCCAACUGUCGAUCCGCCGGAGUUGCUUCAAUGACUCGGCGGGCAGCCUCCGGGAAACCAAAGUUUCUGGGUUCCGGGGGGAGUAUGGUUGCAAAGCUG
This 561-nucleotide ribosomal RNA is filed under the name uncultured metazoan. RNAcentral describes it as "SSU rRNA". It matches the Rfam family "Eukaryotic small subunit ribosomal RNA", at positions 580 to 1139 of the family's 1831-position model. Lineage: Eukaryota; Metazoa. The record is from RNAcentral.